RNAcentral lists this ribosomal RNA (327 nucleotides) under uncultured eukaryote. Its description in RNAcentral is "partial 18S ribosomal RNA". It matches the Rfam family "Eukaryotic small subunit ribosomal RNA", at positions 1470 to 1796 of the family's 1831-position model. The record is from RNAcentral.
CCCUUAGAUGUUCUGGGCCGCACGCGCGCUACACUGACGAAUGCAACGAGCUUAUAACCUUGGCCGAAAGGUCUGGGUAAUCUCCAAAUUUCGUCGUGAUGGGGAUAGAUUAUUGCAAUUAUUAAUCUUCAACGAGGAAUACCUAGUAAGCGCAAGUCAUCAGCUUGCGUUGAUUACGUCCCUGCCCUUUGUACACACCGCCCGUCGCUCCUACCGAUUGAAUGGUCCGGUGAAGCGUUCGGACCGUGGCCUUUGGACGGUUCGCCGUCUGUUGGCUGCGGGAAGUUCGUUAAACCUUAUCAUUUAGAGGAAGGAGAAGUCGUANCA